This is an unclassified non-coding RNA of Rhinopithecus bieti (black snub-nosed monkey), 96 nucleotides long. It matches the Rfam family "Y RNA". From Rfam's summary of the family: Y RNAs are components of the Ro ribonucleoprotein particle (Ro RNP), in association with Ro60 and La proteins. The Y RNAs and Ro60 and La proteins are well conserved, but the function of the Ro RNP is not known. In humans the RNA component can be one of four small RNAs -- hY1, hY3, hY4 and hY5. NCBI's taxonomy places the organism in Eukaryota, Metazoa, Chordata, Mammalia, Primates, Cercopithecidae. The record is from Ensembl.
GGCUUGUCUGAUGGUAGUGGGUAUCAGAACUUAUUAUUAAUAACAUUAGUGUCACUAAAGUUGGUAUACAAGCCCCUAUUGCUAAAUUUGGCUUAA